This 433-nucleotide ribosomal RNA is filed under the name uncultured bacterium. RNAcentral's name for it is "partial 16S ribosomal RNA". It matches the Rfam family "Bacterial small subunit ribosomal RNA", at positions 29 to 507 of the family's 1533-position model. The record is from RNAcentral.
AACGAACGCUGGCGGCAGGCCUAACACAUGCAAGUCGAGCGCGCCCUUCGGGGUGAGCGGCGGACGGGUGAGUAACGCGUGGGAACGUGCCCUUUUCUACGGAAUAGCCUCGGGAAACUGAGAGUAAUACCGUAUACGCCCUUUGGGGGAAAGAUUUAUCGGAAAAGGAUCGGCCCGCGUUGGAUUAGGUAGUUGGUGGGGUAAUGGCCUACCAAGCCGACGAUCCAUAGCUGGUUUGAGAGGAUGAUCAGCCACACUGGGACUGAGACACGGCCCAGACUCCUACGGGAGACAGCAGUGGGGAAUCUUAAACAAUGGGGGCAACCCUGAUCUAGCCAUGCCGCGUGAGUGAUGAAGGCCUUAGGGUUGUAAAGCUCUUUCAGCUGGGAAGAUAAUGACGGUACCAGCAGAAGAAGCCCCGGCUAACUCCGUG